This 200-nucleotide ribosomal RNA is filed under the name uncultured bacterium. Its description in RNAcentral is "partial 16S ribosomal RNA". It matches the Rfam family "Bacterial small subunit ribosomal RNA", at positions 29 to 224 of the family's 1533-position model. The record is from RNAcentral.
AACGAACGCUGGCGGCGUGGAUAAGACAUGCAAGUCGAACGGGGCAUUGAGAGUAGCAAUAUGAUCAAUGUUCAGUGGCGAACGGGUGCGUAACACGUGGAUAUAUUCCGGGAAGCGGGGGAUAGCCCAGGGAAACUUGGAUUAAUACCGCAUGUGGUCGAAAGACUAAAGACGGGGACCGCAAGGCCUGUCACUUCCCG